UACGGAGGGUGCAAGCGUUAAUCGGAAUUACUGGGCGUAAAGCGUGCGUAGGCGGCUUCGCAAGCCAGACGUGAAAGCCCUCGGCUCAACCGGGGAACUGCGUUUGGAACUGCUUAGCUUGAGUCCGAGAGAGGGUGGCGGAAUUCCGGGUGUAGGAGUGAAAUCCGUAGAUAUCCGGAGGAACACCGGUGGCGAAGGCGGCCACCUGGAUCGGUACUGACGCUGAGGUACGAAAGCGUGGGGAGCAAACAGGAUUAGAUACCCUGGUAGUCCACGCGGUAAACGAUGGAUACUAGGUGUCGGGGGCUUGACCUUCGGUGCCGUAGCUAACGCGUUAAGUAUCCCGCCUGGGGAGUACGGUCGCAAGGCUG
This 371-nucleotide ribosomal RNA is filed under the name uncultured prokaryote. RNAcentral describes it as "bacterial SSU rRNA". It matches the Rfam family "Bacterial small subunit ribosomal RNA", at positions 524 to 896 of the family's 1533-position model. The record is from RNAcentral.